CAUCCACAGGCACUGAUUGGGAUAAUUCCCAAAAUGUCAGGCCUCAAAGGCCCAGGGAGGGAGGUUUUCAUGGGGUUUAGGGGGUUGGUAUAGAAGUAGAGGACUUGACAGUCUUUGAUUGGUUCUUAUAAUAAGCAUCAUAGUGACCAGCUAUGAUGUAUUACAGUGACCUACCAUUUCUAAGAGAUAUUUCUAAGAAACUGGAACUGCAACAGGAACUGUCACCUGGGCAACUGAAAUAUAUUGGCUGGGAGUGGUGAGCAUUUUCUGCUACAAAGCAAGUGAAGGCAUGGGUACCUUAGUGUUUAAGAAUAAAAUGGCUCUGGGCUUUGCCUGUGCCCCAACCUUCUGGAGGUCACACACACAGGCAGCCUGUGAUCACUGUCAGUGCAGUCUGCGUCUGGCUCCUCUGUGCAUCCUGAACUGACUGGAGAUUCAGAAUCAGAUGGGCUGCCACCUGCUGACAGCAUGGUUCCCAGCCAAGGACCACCGAGAGAACCAGGUACUUCCCAUCUACUUCCUGGGGGCAGAGUAGGUGACCCAUGACCCCA
Molecule: long non-coding RNA, 551 nt
Filed under: Chinchilla lanigera (long-tailed chinchilla)
Lineage: Eukaryota; Metazoa; Chordata; Mammalia; Rodentia; Chinchillidae
Description: lncRNA (ENSCLAG00000024554.1)
Source: RNAcentral